AUGAUCCCCGUCACGAGGAGAAACCGUGGGGCUGGGCACGGCAGGGUGGGGCUGCGCCCAGGGCUGCGGGCGGACGCGCAGCUGAGCGAGGCCGGAGGGGGCCUCCAGCCGCCCGGCGGGAGCCUCCGCCUCUCCUGCAAGGGAACCGGGUUCGACUUCAGCAGCUCCUACAUGUUCUGGGUCCGGCAGGCGCCCGGCAAGGGGCUUGAGUUCGUCGCGGGUAUUUGGAGCGAGGGCAGCAGUCGAUUCGUGGAUGCAGUGCAAGGACACAUCUCCAGGGAUGAUGGGCAGAGCACGCUCUACCUGCAGAUGAACAGCCUCAAGGUCGAGGACACCGGCACCUACUACUGCGCGAAAACUGCUGAUACUUAUGGUGCUGAUGCUGAUGAUAUCGGGUUACAGCCCCAACCUGGGCAGGAUGCGCCCAUGAGUGCAGAUGGCCGUGAGCUGUCCAAGGUGACUGGGAGCGACCUAGCAAUGAUACGAGUCAGCUGGCUCAGCACUCAUCGAUGUUGA
Molecule: non-coding RNA, 516 nt
Organism: Rhea pennata
Lineage: Eukaryota; Metazoa; Chordata; Aves; Rheiformes; Rheidae
Source: the annotation of a RefSeq genome assembly